ACAUAAAUAAGAAACCAGUGAGCUCAUUGGAUCCAAACCGGCCCAGUUCACUAUCGUCGCCGGUACUGCAUUCCGCCACCGCGUCUCUGCCGCGGGACCACCGCUUUCUUCCGACGGCUCUAAUUUUGUACUGUUGAUCGAGAACAAAACUUGCCGCAGUGUUUUAGGGUUUGGUAGCGUCAGCUACAAAUCAAAGGACCUGUACUCACCUGAAGAUUUUGAAGUUGAUAGUGAAUCAUGAAAAAAUCGGGAUAUGGUUUACAAUUAAGAGUUCCACCAUCGCAGCAGAAGAAGAAACAGCCGGCGAGGCCUCCGCCUCCUAAAGCACUUGGUUUUGGGGAUGGUGAUGAUGAUGAUGUUGAGAAAGAGAUUUCUCGUCAUGCCUCGAAGAAUAAGGCUCUCAAAGAUAUUGAAGAACAGCAUAAGAAGGCUUUAGAAGAGGACCCUUCAGUAUUUGAUUAUGAUGGAGUGUAUGAUGAUAUGAAAGUGAAGGCUGUCCAACCUCGAGCUCAGGAUCGCGAAGAGAGGAAGCCAAAGUAUAUCCAGAUGCUAAUGGAGAAGGCAAAACAACGAGAACGGGAGCAUGAGGUCAUUUAUGAGAGGAAAAUAGCAAAAGAGAGGAGUAAAGAUGAUCAUCUUUUUGCAGACAAAGACAAGUUCGUCACUGCUGCUUAUAAAAGGAAACUUCAAGAGCAGGCUAAGUGGUUGGAGGAAGAGCGUCUUCGUGAGCUACGAGAGGAGAGAGAUGAUGUUACUAAGAAGACCGACAUCAGUGAUUUUUACUUCAGUCUUCAGAAAAAUGUUGCCUUUGGAGGCGAGGGCAAGUCCAAGAAGGCUGUGAAUCAUCAUGAACCAGAAGCAGUUCAGACAGAAGAAAACCCUUCAUCAUCAGCGGAUGUACAUUCACACAUGUCUAGGGAGAUAAAGACACAAGAUCAUGAACCUUCUGUUUCUCCUCCUUGUAAGGAAAGGACUGAUGGAGCCGCAGAUAUGAAACCUCCUUCAGCUGGUUUGUCUGAAAAGAGGGCUGAAAAACUAACUUCCGACAAUGUACCAACUACUACCACUGAACCUGCGGCAAGUGAUCAACCAAAAGUUGACCAUCAUAAAAGAAGUCUGGACGCUGUUGCUGCAGCUAAGGAACGGUUCUUGGCUAGGAAGAAGGCGAAGGAACAAUAAGGUUCCAGCUGCUGCUCUUGUUCUUUUGGUUGAAGCUGAUAUCUUAUCUUUCUACGAUUAAGAUUUACUCCUGUUAUAUACACACACUCACAUUGUUGUAACAAUCUUUUUCAUGAUUUCCGACGUUUGAAUGCACAUUUUCUUACUUUCUA
This 1331-nucleotide unclassified non-coding RNA is filed under the name Hevea brasiliensis (rubber tree). The record is from RNAcentral. Lineage: Eukaryota; Viridiplantae; Streptophyta; Magnoliopsida; Malpighiales; Euphorbiaceae.